UCAGUAACGAAGUUAACGCGUAAGUUGACCGCUUGGGAUACGNCGGCAAGUUGAAACUCAAGGGANUUGACGGGGACCCGCACANGCGUUGGAUGAUGUGGUUUAAUUCGAUGCAACGNGAAAAACCUUACCCACCUUUGACAUGUAUGGAAUCCUUUAGAGAUAGAGGAGUGCUCGAAAGAGAGCCAUAACACAGGUGNUGCAUGGCUGUCGUCAGCUCGUGUCGUGAGAUGUUGGGUUAAGUCCCGCAACGGAGCGCAACCCUUGCCAUUAGUUGCUACGAAAGGGCACUNUAAUGGGACUGCCGGUGACAAACCGGAGGAAGGUGGGGAUGACGUCAGUCCUCAUGGCCCUUAUAGGUGGGGCUACACACGUCAUACAAUGGCUGGUACAGAGGGUUGCCNAACCCGCGAGGGGGAGCCAAUCCCAUAAAGCCAGUCGUAGUCCGGAUNGCAGUCUGCAACUCGACUGCGUGAAGUCGGAAUCGCUAGUAAUCGCGGAUCAGAAUGUCGCGGU
RNAcentral lists this ribosomal RNA (516 nucleotides) under uncultured Comamonas sp. Its description in RNAcentral is "bacterial SSU rRNA". It matches the Rfam family "Bacterial small subunit ribosomal RNA", at positions 840 to 1363 of the family's 1533-position model. Lineage: Bacteria; Pseudomonadati; Pseudomonadota; Betaproteobacteria; Burkholderiales; Comamonadaceae. The record is from RNAcentral.